Molecule: ribosomal RNA, 468 nt
Filed under: uncultured bacterium
Lineage: Bacteria
Description: partial 16S ribosomal RNA
Rfam family: Bacterial small subunit ribosomal RNA
Source: RNAcentral
GACGAACGCUGGCGGCGUGCUUAACACAUGCAAGUCGAACGGAAAGGCCCUGCUUUUGUGGGGUGCUCGUGUGGCGAACGGGUGAGUAACACGUGAGUAACCUGCCCUUGACUUUGGGAUAACUUCAGGAAACUGGGGCUAAUACCGGAUAGGAGCUCCUGCUGCAUGGUGGGGGUUGGAAAGUUUCGGCGGUUGGGGAUGGACUCGCGGCUUAUCAGCUUGUUGGUGGGGUAGUGGCUUACCAAGGCUUUGACGGGUAGCCGGCCUGAGAGGGUGACCGGCCACAAUGGGACUGAGAUACGGCCCAGACUCCUACGGGAGGCAGCAGUGGAGAAUAUUGCAGAAUGAGCGGAAGCCUGAUGCAGCGACGCCGCGUGCGGAAUACCGGCUUUCGGGUUGUGAACCGAUUUCGCCUGUGACAAAGCGUGAGUGACGGUAAUGGGUAAAAAAGCACCAGCUAACUACGUG